UUGAACGCUGGCGGCAUGCUUUACACAUGCAAGUCGAACGGUAACAGGCCGCAAGGUGCUGACGAGUGGCGACCGGGUGAGUAAUGCAUCGGAACGUGCCCAGUCGUGGGGGAUAACUACUCGAAAGAGUAGCUAAUACCGCAUACGAACUAUGGAUGAAAGCGGGGGACCGUAAGGCCUCGCGCGAUUGGAGCGGCCGAUGUCAGAUUAGGUAGUUGGUGGGGUAAAGGCUCACCAAGCCAACGAUCUGUAGCUGGUCUGAGAGGACGACCAGCCACACUGGGACUGAGACACGGCCCAGACUCCUACGGGAGGCAGCAGUGGGGAAUUUUGGACCAUGGGCGCAAGCCUGAUCCAGCAAUGCCGCGUGCAGGAAGAAGGCCUUCGGGUUGUAAACUGCUUUUGUACGGAACGAAACGGCUCUGGUUAAUACCCGGGGCUAAUGACGGUACCGUAAGAAUAAGCACCGGCUAACUACGUG
Molecule: ribosomal RNA, 481 nt
Filed under: uncultured bacterium
Lineage: Bacteria
Description: partial 16S ribosomal RNA
Rfam family: Bacterial small subunit ribosomal RNA
Source: RNAcentral